This 556-nucleotide ribosomal RNA is filed under the name Escherichia coli. Its description in RNAcentral is "partial 23S ribosomal RNA". It matches the Rfam family "Bacterial large subunit ribosomal RNA", at positions 1104 to 1661 of the family's 2925-position model. The record is from RNAcentral. Lineage: Bacteria; Pseudomonadati; Pseudomonadota; Gammaproteobacteria; Enterobacterales; Enterobacteriaceae.
GCUUAGAAGCAGCCAUCAUUUAAAGAAAGCGUAAUAGCUCACUGGUCGAGUCGGCCUGCGCGGAAGAUGUAACGGGGCUAAACCAUGCACCGAAGCUGCGGCAGCGACGCUGAUGCGUUGUUGGGUAGGGGAGCGUUCUGUAAGCCUGCGAAGGUGUGCUGUGAGGCAUGCUGGAGGUAUCAGAAGUGCGAAUGCUGACAUAAGUAACGAUAAAGCGGGUGAAAAGCCCGCUCGCCGGAAGACCAAGGGUUCCUGUCCAACGUUAAUCGGGGCAGGGUGAGUCGACCCCUAAGGCGAGGCCGAAAGGCGUAGUCGAUGGGAAACAGGUUAAUAUUCCUGUACUUGGUGUUACUGCGAAGGGGGGACGGAGAAGGCUAUGUUGGCCGGGCGACGGUUGUCCCGGUUUAAGCGUGUAGGCUGGUUUUCCAGGCAAAUCCGGAAAACUAAGGCUGAGGCGUGAUGACGAGGCACUACGGUGCUGAAGCAACAAAUGCCCUGCUUCCAGGAAAAGCCUCUAAGCAUCAGGUAACAUCAAAUCGUACCCCAAACCGACACA